AACGAACGCUGGCGGCAUGCCUAACACAUGCAAGUCGAACGAGACCUUCGGGUCUAGUUGCGCACGGGUGCGUAACGCGUGGGAACCUGCCCUUAGGUUCGGAAUAACUCCCCGAAAGGGGUGCUAAUACCGGAUAACGUCCUCUGAUCAAAGAUUUAUCGCCUUUGGAUGGGCCGGCGUUGGAUUAGCUAGUUGGUAGGGUAAGAGCCUACCAAGGCGACGAUCCAUAGCUGGUCUGAGAGGAUGAUCAGCCACACUGGGACUGAGACACGGCCCAGACUCCUACGGGAGGCAGCAGUGGGGAAUAUUGGACAAUGGGCGAAAGCCUGAUCCAGCAAUGCCGCGUGAGUGAUGAAGGCCUUAGGGUUGUAAAGCUCUUUUACCCGGGAUGAUAAUGACAGUACCGGGAGAAUAAGCUCCGGCUAACUCCGUG
This 433-nucleotide ribosomal RNA is filed under the name uncultured bacterium. Its description in RNAcentral is "partial 16S ribosomal RNA". It matches the Rfam family "Bacterial small subunit ribosomal RNA", at positions 29 to 507 of the family's 1533-position model. The record is from RNAcentral.